RNAcentral lists this transfer RNA (74 nucleotides) under Merluccius polli (Benguela hake). It matches the Rfam family "tRNA". Rfam says of the family: Transfer RNA (tRNA) molecules are approximately 80 nucleotides in length. Their secondary structure includes four short double-helical elements and three loops (D, anti-codon, and T loops). Lineage: Eukaryota; Metazoa; Chordata; Actinopteri; Gadiformes; Merlucciidae. The record is from Rfam by way of RNAcentral.
GGCCGGUUAGCUCAGUUGGUUAGAGCGUGGUGCUAAUAACGCCAAGGUCACGGGUUCAACCCCAGUACGGGCCA